Fomitopsis serialis is the source of this 95-nucleotide non-coding RNA. The record is from the annotation of a RefSeq genome assembly. Lineage: Eukaryota; Fungi; Basidiomycota; Agaricomycetes; Polyporales; Fomitopsidaceae.
GGGCAUUUGGCACAGUGGUAGCGCGCACGCUUCGCAUCUUUGGUAUUUGGGGUAAUGCUUGCGUGAGGUCCAGGGUUCAAUCCCCUGAAUGUCCA